AGAGCGAACGCUGGCGGCAGGCCUAACACAUGCAAGUCGAGCGCCCCGCAAGGGGAGCGGCAGACGGGAGAGUAACACGUGGGAACGUACCCUUUGGUUCGGAACAACCCAGGGAAACUUGGGCUAAUACCGAAUAAGCCCUUACGGGGAAAGAUUAUCGCCAAAGGAUCGGCCCGCGUCUGAUUAGCUAGUUGGUGAGGUAACGGCUCACCAAGGCGACGAUCAGUAGCUGGUCUGAGAGGAUGAUCAGCCUCACUGGGACUGAGACACGGCCCAGACUCCUACGGGAGGCAGCAGUGGGGAAUAUUGGACAAUGGGCGCAAGCCUGAUCCAGCCAUGCCGCGUGGGUGAUGAAGGCCCUAGGGUUGUAAAGCCCUUUCGGCGGGGAAGAUAAUGACGGUACCCGCAGAAGAGCCCGGCUAACUUCGUGCCAGCAGCCGC
This 441-nucleotide ribosomal RNA is filed under the name uncultured bacterium. RNAcentral's name for it is "SSU rRNA". It matches the Rfam family "Bacterial small subunit ribosomal RNA", at positions 26 to 518 of the family's 1533-position model. The record is from RNAcentral.